Molecule: ribosomal RNA, 460 nt
Filed under: uncultured bacterium
Lineage: Bacteria
Description: partial 16S ribosomal RNA
Rfam family: Bacterial small subunit ribosomal RNA
Source: RNAcentral
CCUACGGGGGGCAGCAGUGAGGAAUAUUGGUCAAUGGACGAGAGUCUGAACCAGCCAUGUAGCGUGCAGGACGACUGCCCUAUGGGUUGUAAACUUCUUUUAUAUGGGAAUAAAAUGUUCCACGUGUGGGAUUUUGUAUGUACCCUAUGAAUAAGGAUCGGCUAACUCCGUGCCAGCAGCCGCGGUAAUACGGAGGAUCCGAGCGUUAUCCGGAUUUAUUGGGUUUAAAGGGAGCGUAGGUGGAUUGUUAAGUCAGUUGUGAAAGUUUGCGGCUCAACCGUGGAAUUGCAGUUGAAACUGGCAGUCUUGAGUACAGUAGAGGUAGGCGGAAUGUGUGGUGUAGCGGUGAAAUGCUUAGAUAUCACGAAGAACUCCGAUUGCGAAGGCAGUUCACUGGACCGCAACUGACACUGAGGCUCGAAAGUGUGGGUAUCAAACAGGAUUAGAUACCCCAGUAGUC